UUUUAUUUCGGUCAAAAAUAAAAGUUAAAAAUAAAUAAUCCUAGACACAGAAAGCCAAUCCGCUAACUUGUACUACAACCGGCUGAUACAUCCUCAAAAUGUUUUUAAACACCAAGAGAGUUUUUUUUUUUUUAAUUUAAUCAUUUUAUUUAAAUUUUAUUAGUUUAUAUACUUUAAACUAAUUACAAAUUGACACAUCGUGAACUUCAUAAAAAAGAGUAGCUAAAGUCUCUAAUUUUAGAGCUUGUCUUAAACAAGUUGAGCAUUUUUGA
RNAcentral lists this long non-coding RNA (272 nucleotides) under Capsella rubella. Its description in RNAcentral is "long non-coding RNA (CRUB_LNC001542)". Lineage: Eukaryota; Viridiplantae; Streptophyta; Magnoliopsida; Brassicales; Brassicaceae. The record is from RNAcentral.